Molecule: ribosomal RNA, 524 nt
Filed under: uncultured bacterium
Lineage: Bacteria
Description: bacterial SSU rRNA
Rfam family: Bacterial small subunit ribosomal RNA
Source: RNAcentral
GCGCAAUGGGCGGAAGCCUGACGCAGCGACGCCGCGUGGGGGAUGACGGCCUUCGGGUUGUAAACCUCUUUCGUCAUCGACGAAGCCUUUCGGGGUGACGGUAGGUGGAGAAGAAGCACCGGCUAACUACGUGCCAGCAGCCGCGGUAACACGUAGGGUGCGAGCGUUGUCCGGAAUUAUUGGGCGUAAAGAGCUCGUAGGCGGUGUGUCGCGUCGGCCGUGAAAACCUGGGGCUUAACUCUGGGCGUGCGGUCGAUACGGGCAUCACUUGAGUUCGGCAGGGGAGACUGGAAUUCCUGGUGUAGCGGUGAAAUGCGCAGAUAUCAGGAGGAACACCGGUGGCGAAGGCGGGUCUCUGGGCCGAUACUGACGCUGAGGAGCGAAAGCGUGGGGAGCGAACAGGAUUAGAUACCCUGGUAGUCCACGCCGUAAACGUUGGGCGCUAGGUGUGGGGACCAUUCCACGGUUUCUGUGCCGCAGCUAACGCAUUAAGCGCCCCGCCUGGGGAGUACGGCCGCAAGGCU